This 499-nucleotide ribosomal RNA is filed under the name uncultured bacterium. RNAcentral's name for it is "partial 16S ribosomal RNA". It matches the Rfam family "Bacterial small subunit ribosomal RNA", at positions 29 to 507 of the family's 1533-position model. The record is from RNAcentral.
AAUGAACGCUGGCGGCAGGCCUAAUACAUGCAAGUCGAGCGGACGGACGAGAAUGCUUGCACUCUCCGACGUUAGAGGGGUGCGUGUGAGUAACACGUAGGCAACCUACCUAUAACUCUGGUCUUACUUCGGGAAACCAGAGCUCAUACCUGCUAAUGGUUAACUUCGGAUAACGCAAUAGUGAAAGACCGUUCUUGUGUCAAUUAUAGAUUGACCCGUGGGGUAUUAGCUGGUUGGUGAGGUAACGGCUCACCAAGGCCACGAUACGUAGCCGGUCUGAGAGGAUGAUCAGCCACACUGGAACUGAGACACGGCCCAGACUCCUACGGGAGGCAGCAGUGGGGAAUAUUCGGCAAUGGACGAAAGCCUGAUCCAGCCAUGCCGCGUGAGUGAAGAAGGUUUUCGGAUUGUAAAGCUCUGUUGUUAGGGAAGAACAGCAGCGUUAGAAUAUGAACCUGUUUUGACGGUACCUAAACAGAAAGCCACGGCUAACUUCGUG